RNAcentral lists this ribosomal RNA (467 nucleotides) under uncultured bacterium. RNAcentral describes it as "partial 16S ribosomal RNA". It matches the Rfam family "Bacterial small subunit ribosomal RNA", at positions 28 to 506 of the family's 1533-position model. The record is from RNAcentral.
GACGAACGCUGGCGGCGUGCUUAACACAUGCAAGUCGAACGGAAAGGCCCUGCUUUUGUGGGGUGCUCGAGUGGCGAACGGGUGAGUAACACGUGAGUAACCUGCCCUUGACUUUGGGAUAACUUCAGGAAACUGGGGCUAAUACCGGAUAGGAGCUCCUGCUGCAUGGUGGGGGUUGGAAAGUUUCGGCGGUUGGGGAUGGACUCGCGGCUUAUCAGCUUGUUGGUGGGGUAGUGGCUUACCAAGGCUUUGACGGGUAGCCGGCCUGAGAGGGUGACCGGCCACAUUGGGACUGAGAGACGGCCUAGACUCCUACGGGAGGCAGCAGUGGGGAAUAUUGCACAAUGGGCGGAAGCCUGAUGCAGCAACGCCGCGUGCGGGAUGACGGCCUUCGGGUUGUAAACCGCUUUCGCCUGUGACGAAGCGUGAGUGACGGUAAUGGGUAAAGAAGCACCGGCUAACUACGU